UUACUGAUAAAACCUGGCUAACUUUGUUUUUUAUCAAGUGUCAAGAAGUUGUGUUUUGCUAAGGAAGGAACACUAAAAAAGUAAAGGUCCAAAGAAAAAUCAAGGUCUCUGCAACUGAAGUUCACCUGAACUGAUAAAAAUGCUUCCAAAUUGAAGAUCUGCUCAGUGUGGGAAGUCUGAGGAAUUUGGUCUGGAGCUGCCUUGGAAAUGGAGAGUUGAGAUGUCACUCUGUGUUCUGUAAUAGAGUAACAUCUGUCCACUGAUGACAGCCCCAUCAAACAUUGCUGUGUCUGUUCGCUUCAGUUAAGCAAGUUAAAAUUAUCAGCAGUGGAAUGUUCUUGUUUGUGUUCUUUUUAG
RNAcentral lists this long non-coding RNA (357 nucleotides) under Parus major (Great Tit). RNAcentral describes it as "lncRNA (ENSPMJG00000004445.1)". The record is from RNAcentral. Lineage: Eukaryota; Metazoa; Chordata; Aves; Passeriformes; Paridae.